GGAAACCUUUCAAAGGGUUUUAAGUGCUUCCUACAAUUAUCCUCAUCUCAUGGAAAAACUAGACAGAGGAAAAGAAAAGAGGCAAAUGGAGCUUCCUUUGCUAAGAGCUCAAAUAACUCUCCUCUACAUAGUCUUCUUCAAACAAAAACACAAAGCUAAUUUUCCAUUUACUCUUUGAGAGUUCCACAGAAAAACAAGUGAGUAAUAUAUCAUGUUUCUCUUUCUGAAAGCUUUAUAUCUGGAGUUAGAUAAGCCAUUGUUACUUGAUCAAAUAGGUGGAUAUAGCCAUGGAGAUAAGCUAAUAUUUGCAUCGGCAUGACAACCACUGACUAGUCUAAGCGUAAUAGAAG
Molecule: long non-coding RNA, 350 nt
Filed under: Homo sapiens (human)
Lineage: Eukaryota; Metazoa; Chordata; Mammalia; Primates; Hominidae
Description: HSALNT0192920
Source: RNAcentral